RNAcentral lists this ribosomal RNA (484 nucleotides) under uncultured bacterium. Its description in RNAcentral is "partial 16S ribosomal RNA". It matches the Rfam family "Bacterial small subunit ribosomal RNA", at positions 30 to 507 of the family's 1533-position model. The record is from RNAcentral.
AUUGAACGCUGGCGGCAGGCCUAACACAUGCAAGUCGAGCGGAUGAAGGGAGCUUGCUCCUGGAUUCAGCGGCGGACGGGUGAGUAAUGCCUAGGAAUCUGCCUGGUAGUGGGGGAUAACGUCCGGAAACGGGCGCUAAUACCGCAUACGUCCUGAGGGAGAAAGUGGGGGAUCUUCGGACCUCACGCUAUCAGAUGAGCCCAGGUCGGAUUAGCUAGUUGGUGGGGUAAAGGCCUACCAAGGCGACGAUCCGUAACUGGUCUGAGAGGAUGAUCAGUCACACUGGAACUGAGACACGGUCCAGACUCCUACGGGAGGCAGCAGUGGGGAAUAUUGGACAAUGGGCGAAAGCCUGAUCCAGCCAUGCCGCGUGUGUGAAGAAGGUCUUCGGAUUGUAAAGCACUUUAAGUUGGGAGGAAGGGCAGUAAGUUAAUACCUUGCUGUUUUGACGUUACCGACAGAAUAAGCACCGGCUAACUUCGUG